This 208-nucleotide small RNA is filed under the name Arabidopsis thaliana (thale cress). Its description in RNAcentral is "ATSL069150". The record is from RNAcentral. Lineage: Eukaryota; Viridiplantae; Streptophyta; Magnoliopsida; Brassicales; Brassicaceae.
AAAAAAUAAUUUUAUAAUCCAUCAAAUUUAAAUACUAUUUUUUUAGAAGGUCCAAUAUAUAGUCAAACUCUACUAUAUAGGGUAACGCGACUUAGUGGAAUCGAACCUCGAUAGAAAGACGAAAUCAAAUGAACUUAACCACUUGACUAAAAGCACAUCUCUCAAAUCUAAAAACUACUUAUUCGUGGUUUAUCUAUAAAACUUGAAA